GUCUUAGAUGGGGUUAAACCAGAAGCGGUCUGUAAUAGGAAGAUGUGUUAGCAAGUGAUUUAUUAAGGGAGUACACAAAAUAAUGGUAUAAAUGAUCCUGGGAGACCUGGGUAAAGUAUCAAUCUUACUACAGCUUCCUCAUGAAUAUUCUCCUUUAUAUAGGCCCAACAUCCCAGUACCCUUAGCCAUUUCAGAAUAUGUAUUCAAUUCACCUCCUGCACACAUCCCUCAGAAGGAGCAUGCUUUUCAGAUUUUAAUCUUGCUCAAAAAAGAAAAAAAGUUAAUGUGAAUUGUGUACAGUCUGAUCCAAUUCUAGACAAAAGCCUGUUACCUUGGAUCUCAAAAAUGUCUUAAUUCAAAUUCAAUAAUAUAUAUGAAAAUUUAAACUUUAGCGUCUUUCCUGAAAGUGUUACCCAUAUUGAGUUUUAGAUUAAAGACUCCAGGCUGAUGCUUCAAAGCAAAACUGGGAACCAAGGAUGUGAGAAUGCACUGUAAGAACCAUCGUAAAGAAAAUCCUGGACUUCUGUGGAAUAGGACUCAAAAGAGAAAAACUGGAAAACAGAAAGUUAGUCUGACAAGCCAUCUCAACUCCUGUGAUUAAAAACUUCACAUAAAUAAAGUCACAAUCUACUUAUCUUGAGGCUGCCUAUGAUAAAUUUUAAAACAAAUCUAGAAAAUGGAAAGACAAAUAACUAUAAAAAACUUGAUAGUUCUCACUAAUCUGCUACUUUGAAAACAAUGUUAAAAAUUUAAUUUCAAAUAAAGUGCUUUUGCUUCUAAUAUGGUAUUUUAGAUGAUACAGGCUGGACUUCGAUUCUACCUAAAACUUUCUCAGUUCCUUCAAUAUUAUUCUUCAGACUGUGAAGCCAAAUUCUUCAAGGGACUAAAGAAGACCAAGUGAUAAGGGAAACGUUGCAGGGGAUUUUGAAGUUAGGAUAGAUGUUAGGAUUUAGGGCUUCUUCUUAUUCCCAACAUCAGAUCUGCGUUUCUUGAUGUAUUUCUGGAUUUUAGUUUAGGAGCCUGACUGGGACUUGAAAAAAGAUAGAAGGGCAGAUGUGACAAAAAGUAAUGAAAGUAGCCCUCUAAACUUUUUAUUCUCCCCUGGGGUGGGAGGGGAAAUUAUUUCAGGAUUACUAAGUACUGAGAGCAGAAGAUUCAGAAGAAUGACUAUUUUAUUUUGCUUUUUCCUUUUCCUUGACAUUUUGACUCCAAUAAAGACAUAUUCUGAACUAAGAAAACAAAGCUUACUGAAGAAUAAUGAAAAUUUUAACCCAGCUAUGCAUAUUUAGUGAAGCUCCUUUAAGUAGCAAUGUAAUCUCAUGACCAUGUUCAAUUUUCUCAGAAAAUAAACAAGAAUUUUCCACUAAGAGCAAGUAUUUAUUAAAUUCCAAUUAAAAAUAAUACCAAGAAGAUAUUUUCAUGUGAACUGUAUACUGUAAAAAAUGGGUGUAUAUAUAAUGUUUUCUCUCUUUAUAAAACUUUUAUAUUAAUUACUGUUUGCUUGACAUAGUUCCAAGUAUUUUACAAAUUUAACUUUUAAAUGCUCAUUUUAAAUAUUAAUAAAGGGUCAAGUCACUGGUUCACGAUCACACAUCUGAUAAGUGUUGAAGCUGGGAUUUGAACCUGGACAGUUUCGAGCCUAGACAGUUUUGAGCCUAGACAGUUUUGAGCCUGGACAGUAUGGCUUCAGAGUCAUCACCCUUAGCUAUUAUGCUAUAUUACUCUCCAUAUUUAGGAAAGUGUCCCCAG
This 1749-nucleotide long non-coding RNA is filed under the name Homo sapiens (human). RNAcentral describes it as "HSALNT0352834". Lineage: Eukaryota; Metazoa; Chordata; Mammalia; Primates; Hominidae. The record is from RNAcentral.